Small nucleolar RNA from Ochotona princeps (American pika), 123 nucleotides. Its record names the gene SNORA63. It matches the Rfam family "Small nucleolar RNA SNORA63". Rfam says of the family: E3 belongs to the H/ACA class of snoRNAs and is involved in the processing of eukaryotic pre-rRNA and has regions of complementarity to 18S rRNA. NCBI's taxonomy places the organism in Eukaryota, Metazoa, Chordata, Mammalia, Lagomorpha, Ochotonidae. The record is from Ensembl.
CAGCAGGAUUUGGACUACCCUAUAGCUGUUCAGUACUGUGCUGUCAUUUCUGCCUGCUCAAAGCGAGGUGUUUUCUUAACUAUGUGUGUCUGCUAUAUUUGUGGCACCCAUGGCCUCAUACAU